GAUGAACGCUGGCGGCGUGCCUAACACAUGCAAGUCGAACGGACGGACGAUAAGUUUGCGUUUUUGUUGUUUGCGGCUGGCGGGCGUGUCACGCGUGCAUCAUCUACUGCUAUUUCUGGGAUGACUUCGGAAAUCGGCUUAAUCUAGGAUAGGAUACUGGUUACGGUGUGAUUCAGGAGAGAUUGACAGGUUUGGGGUUGGAUUUAGGCGAAUCCGCGCUGCAUUAGAUAGUUGGUAGGGUAACGCCUUGCCAAGGCACCGAUGCGUAGCCGACCUGAGAGGCUGAUCGGCCACACUGGAACGGAGACACGGUCCAGACUCCUACGGGAGGCAGCAGUGGGGAAUCUUGGGCAAUGGGCGAAAGCCUGACGGAGCAACGCCGAGUGAGUGAAGAAGGCCCUCGGAUCGUAAAGCCCUGUUAUUAGGGAAGAACAUCUGUCGAUGUAAACGUAGCCAUCUUGACGGUACCUAAAGAAAAAGCCCCGGCUAACUACGUG
RNAcentral lists this ribosomal RNA (497 nucleotides) under uncultured bacterium. RNAcentral's name for it is "partial 16S ribosomal RNA". It matches the Rfam family "Bacterial small subunit ribosomal RNA", at positions 28 to 507 of the family's 1533-position model. The record is from RNAcentral.